This is a long non-coding RNA of Manis pentadactyla (Chinese pangolin), 232 nucleotides long. RefSeq lists it as uncharacterized. The record is from RefSeq and is a predicted model, not a curated record. NCBI's taxonomy places the organism in Eukaryota, Metazoa, Chordata, Mammalia, Pholidota, Manidae. The transcript is spliced from 3 exons.
CAAAUAUUAACACGGGCAUUGGCCAAGGGAAAUAACAAGGAAUCAUUCAUCUACUGAAAUGAGCCCUGAUCUGGAAUAUAUUUCUUUGAAUGAUCAUAAGUAUUGCUUUCAUGUACAGAAGGAAUCAUGUGAGUCUCAAGCACUUUGAAGAAGCCACAUACCUUGAAAUUAUCAGAUGUCACUAUGAUGACAGUUAUCAGUUUGUCCAUAUGAUGAAAGAAUUGAAGAAAUG